Molecule: ribosomal RNA, 253 nt
Filed under: uncultured bacterium
Lineage: Bacteria
Description: partial 16S ribosomal RNA
Rfam family: Bacterial small subunit ribosomal RNA
Source: RNAcentral
UACGUAGGGGGCAAGCGUUGUCCGGAAUCAUUGGGCGUAAAGCGCGCGUAGGCGGCCCGGUAAGUCCGUUGUGAAAGUCAAAGGCUCAACCUUUGAACGCCGAUGGAUACUGCCGGGCUGGAGUCCGGAAGAGGCGAGUGGAAUUCCUGGUGUAGCGGUGGAAUGCGCAGAUAUCAGGAGGAACACCAAUAGCGGAGGCAGCUCGCUGGGACGGUACUGACGCUGAGGCGCGAAAGCGUGGGGAGCGAACAGG